RNAcentral lists this long non-coding RNA (218 nucleotides) under Nicotiana benthamiana. RNAcentral describes it as "long non-coding RNA (NBEN_LNC003818)". The record is from RNAcentral. Lineage: Eukaryota; Viridiplantae; Streptophyta; Magnoliopsida; Solanales; Solanaceae.
GUUUAUAAGCAUUAUAAACAGUUUGAGCAUUCACUUUAAUUGAUGCUUGCGCAUCAGAUAGUGUAGCCAUUUCUUCUUCAUCAAGAUCUAAAGCUUCAUAAAUACUAGAAUACUAGUUUCAACUUGUUUAUCUUUUCUAGGUCGGGGAGCCGGUGGAGGGGUAGUAUUUUGGCGACUACUUUCACCGGUUUUAUUUUUUCCUUUUCCGAACAUAUUUN